RNAcentral lists this ribosomal RNA (434 nucleotides) under uncultured Clostridium sp. Its description in RNAcentral is "partial 16S ribosomal RNA". It matches the Rfam family "Bacterial small subunit ribosomal RNA", at positions 341 to 792 of the family's 1533-position model. The record is from RNAcentral. Lineage: Bacteria; Bacillati; Bacillota; Clostridia; Eubacteriales; Clostridiaceae.
ACGGGAGGCAGCAGUGGGGGAUAUUGCACAAUGGGGGAAACCCUGAUGUAGCGACGCCGCGUGAGUGAAGAAGUAUUUCGGUAUGUAAAGCUCUAUCAGCAGGGAAGAUAAUGACGGUACCUGACUAAGAAGCACCGGCUAAAUACGUGCCAGCAGCCGCGGUAAUACGUAUGGUGCAAGCGUUAUCCGGAUUUACUGGGUGUAAAGGGAGCGCAGACGGCAUAGCAAGCCAGAUGUGAAAGGUGGGGGCUCAACCCCCAAACUGCAUUUGGAACUGUUAAGCUAGAGUGUCGGAGAGGUAAGUGGAAUUCCUAGUGUAGCGGUGAAAUGCGUAGAUAUUAGGAGGAACACCAGUGGCGAAGGCGGCUUACUGGACGAUAACUGACGUUGAGGCUCGAAAGCGUGGGGAGCAAACAGGAUUAGAUACCCUGGUA